AGCGAACGCUGGCGGCAGGCUUAACACAUGCAAGUCGAGCGGGCAUCUUCGGAUGUCAGCGGCAGACGGGUGAGUAACGCGUGGGAACGUACCCUUCGGUUCGGAACAACUCUGGGAAACUGGAGCUAAUACCGGAUACGCCCUUAUGGGGAAAGGUUUACUGCCGAAGGAUCGGCCCGCGUCUGAUUAGCUAGUUGGUGGGGUAACGGCCUACCAAGGCGACGAUCAGUAGCUGGUCUGAGAGGAUGAGCAGCCACACUGGGACUGAGACACGGCCCAGACUCCUACGGGAGGCAGCAGUGGGGAAUAUUGGACAAUGGGCGCAAGCCUGAUCCAGCCAUGCCGCGUGAGUGAUGAAGGCCUUAGGGUUGUAAAGCUCUUUUGUCCGGGACGAUAAUGACGGUACCGGAAGAAUAAGCCCCGGCUAACUUCGUG
RNAcentral lists this ribosomal RNA (435 nucleotides) under uncultured bacterium. Its description in RNAcentral is "partial 16S ribosomal RNA". It matches the Rfam family "Bacterial small subunit ribosomal RNA", at positions 29 to 507 of the family's 1533-position model. The record is from RNAcentral.